CCUACGGGUGGCUGCAGUGGGGAAUAUUGCACAAUGGGCGCAAGCCUGAUGCAGCCAUGCCGCGUGUGUGAAGAAGGCCUUCGGGUUGUAAAGCACUUUCAGCGGGGAGGAAGGCGUUAAGGUUAAUAACCUUGGCGAUUGACGUUACCCGCAGAAGAAGCACCGGCUAACUCCGUGCCAGCAGCCGCGGUAAUACGGAGGGUGCAAGCGUUAAUCGGAAUUACUGGGCGUAAAGCGCACGCAGGCGGUCUGUCAAGUCGGAUGUGAAAUCCCCGGGCUCAACCUGGGAACUGCAUUCGAAACUGGCAGGCUAGGGUCUUGUAGAGGGGGGUAGAAUUCCAGGUGUAGCGGUGAAAUGCGUAGAGAUCUGGAGGAAUACCGGGGGCGAAGGCGGCCCCCUGGACAAAGACUGACGCUCAGGUGUGAAAGCGUGGGGAGCAAACAGGAUUAGAUACCUUGUAGUC
This 464-nucleotide ribosomal RNA is filed under the name uncultured Klebsiella sp. RNAcentral describes it as "bacterial SSU rRNA". It matches the Rfam family "Bacterial small subunit ribosomal RNA", at positions 338 to 795 of the family's 1533-position model. The record is from RNAcentral. Lineage: Bacteria; Pseudomonadati; Pseudomonadota; Gammaproteobacteria; Enterobacterales; Enterobacteriaceae.